GCGUCAUAGAGGGUGAGAAUCCCGUAUAUGGCACGGACUCCCGUUACUCUGUGAUACACUCUCAACGAGUCGAGUUGUUUGGGAAUGCAGCUCCAAAUGGGUGGUAAAUGCCAUCUAAAGCUAAAUAUUGGCGAGAGACCGAUAGCAAACAAGUACCGUGAGGGAAAGAUGAAAAGCACUUUGGAAAGAGAGUGAAACAGUACGUGAAAUUGUUGAAAGGGAAACGCUUGAAGUCAGUCGUGCCCUUUGGGAUUCAGCCUUGCUUCUGCUUGGUUUACUUCCCUUUGGGUGGGUCAACAUCAGUUUGAAUCGGAGGAGAAAGACUUGGGGAAGGUGGCAGCAUUCGUGCUGUGUUAUAGCCCCUUGUGGUAUACUUCGAUUUGGACUGAGGACCGCAGCACGCCUUUGGCCGGGGCUCGCCCACGUACGUGCUUAGGAUGUUGGCACAAUGGCUUUAAGCGACCCGUCUUGAAACACGGACCAAGGAGUCUAACAUGUGCGCGAGUGUUUGAGUGUUAAACUCAGACGCGAAAUGAAAGUGAAAGGUUGGGAACACUUAUGUGUGCACCGACGCCCGGAGCUGACCUUCUGUGACGCUUCUGCGGUAGAGCGUAUAUGUUGGGACCCGAAAGAUGGUGAACUAUGCCUGAAUAGGGUGAAGCCAGAGGAAACUCUGGUGGAGGCUCGUAGCGAUUCUGACGUGCAAAUCGAUCGUCAAAUUUGGGUAUAGGGGCGAAAGACUAAUCGAACCAUCUAGUAGCUGGUUCCUUCCGAAGU
RNAcentral lists this ribosomal RNA (777 nucleotides) under uncultured Sebacina. Its description in RNAcentral is "partial 28S ribosomal RNA". It matches the Rfam family "Eukaryotic large subunit ribosomal RNA", at positions 200 to 967 of the family's 3401-position model. The record is from RNAcentral. Lineage: Eukaryota; Fungi; Basidiomycota; Agaricomycetes; Sebacinales; Sebacinaceae.